RNAcentral lists this ribosomal RNA (372 nucleotides) under Triticum aestivum (bread wheat). Its description in RNAcentral is "partial small subunit ribosomal RNA". Lineage: Eukaryota; Viridiplantae; Streptophyta; Magnoliopsida; Poales; Poaceae. The record is from RNAcentral.
AUGUAUGAGCAGAGCCAAGAGCAGAUCAAGGUUAAAGAAGAUGUGAUUGCCCUGCUAGAAGAAGAGAAGCGUCUGAUGCAGGCAAAACAGAAGAGUGUUCAGGAAAGUGCCGCUGAUCAGGUUGCACCUGAUGCUAAUGAAAUCAAGACUGAUCUUGAGAAGGAGAAUAUGUCACUGAAGGGAGAGGUAGAGCUGCUGAAGAAGAUCCAGGCCACUCAGGCUGAACUCAUUAGCAAAUGGAGGAAAGAUGCACAUGUUGAUGAAGUAAAUCAGCAGAAGAAAAGGCUUGAGUUUGCCAUAUCUGACCUUUUGAAGGAUGGAGAGGCCAACAAGUCUAAGCUGAAGAGAAUCAGGGCUAUAUGUGAUGAGUGA